CCGUAGGUGAACCUGCGGAGGGAUCAUUACAAGUGACCCCGGUCUAACCACCGGGAUGUUCAUAACCCUUUGUUGUCCGACUCUGUUGCCUCCGGGGCGACCCUGCCUUCGGGCGGGGGCUCCGGGUGGACACUUCAAACUCUUGCGUAACUUUGCAGUCUGAGUAAACUUAAUUAAUAAAUUAAAACUUUUAACAACGGAUCUCUUGGUUCUGGCAUCGAUGAAGAACGCAGCGAAAUGCGAUAAGUAAUGUGAAUUGCAGAAUUCAGUGAAUCAUCGAAUCUUUGAACGCACAUUGCGCCCCCUGGUAUUCCGGGGGGCAUGCCUGUUCGAGCGUCAUUUCACCACUCAAGCCUCGCUUGGUAUUGGGCAACGCGGUCCGCCGCGUGCCUCAAAUCGACCGGCUGGGUCUUCUGUCCCCUAAGCGUUGUGGAAACUAUUCGCUAAAGGGUGUUCGGGAGGCUACGCCGUAAAACAACCCCAUUUCUAAGGUUGACCUCGGAUCAGGUAGGGAUACCCGCUGAACUUAAGCAUAUCAAUAAGCGGAGG
RNAcentral lists this ribosomal RNA (549 nucleotides) under Cladosporium sp. Ohu 2B. RNAcentral's name for it is "eukaryotic LSU rRNA". The stretch from base 186 to 339 matches the Rfam family "5.8S ribosomal RNA". The record is from RNAcentral. Lineage: Eukaryota; Fungi; Ascomycota; Dothideomycetes; Cladosporiales; Cladosporiaceae.